RNAcentral lists this ribosomal RNA (484 nucleotides) under uncultured bacterium. RNAcentral's name for it is "partial 16S ribosomal RNA". It matches the Rfam family "Bacterial small subunit ribosomal RNA", at positions 30 to 507 of the family's 1533-position model. The record is from RNAcentral.
AUUGAACGCUGGCGGCAGGCCUAACACAUGCAAGUCGAGCGGAUGAAGGGAGCUUGCUCCUGGAUUCAGCGGCGGACGGGUGAGUAAUGCCUAGGAAUCUGCCUGGUAGUGGGGGAUAACGUCCGGAAACGGGCGCUAAUACCGCAUACGUCCUGCGGGAGAAAGUGGGGGAUCUUCGGACCUCACGCUAUCAGAUGAGCCUAGGUCGGAUUAGCUAGUUGGUGGGGUAAAGGCCUACCAAGGCGACGAUCCGUAACUGGUCUGAGAGGAUGAUCAGUCACACUGGAACUGAGACACGGUCCAGACUACUACGGGAGGCAGCAGUGGGGAAUAUUGGACAAUGGGCGAAAGCCUGAUCCAGCCAUGCCGCGUGUGUGAAGAAGGUCUUCGGAUUGUAAAGCACUUUAAGUUGGGAGGAAGGGCAGUAAGUUAAUACCUUGCUGGUUUGACGGUACCAACAGAAUAAGCACCGGCUAACUUCGUG